Molecule: ribosomal RNA, 775 nt
Filed under: uncultured Neocallimastigales
Lineage: Eukaryota; Fungi; Neocallimastigomycota; Neocallimastigomycetes; Neocallimastigales
Description: partial large subunit ribosomal RNA
Rfam family: Eukaryotic large subunit ribosomal RNA
Source: RNAcentral
AGAGAGAGACAUGCGCGCAUAUCAAUAAGCGGAGGAAAAGAAACUAACUAGGAUUCCCUCAGUAACGGCGAGUGAAGCGGGAAGAGCUCAAAUUUGAAAUCUUCAAGGUUCUACCUUGACGAAUUGUAGUUUAAAGAAGUGUUUUCUGUUGGAGUUUUGGUAAAAGUUCUUUGGAAUAGGACAUCAUAGAGGGUGAGAAUCCCGUAUUUGACCAUUAUUUCCAGCUUUGUGAUACACUUUCAAAGAGUCGGAUUGUUUGGGAAUGCAGUCCAAAAUGGGUGGUAAAUUUCAUCUAAAGCUAAAUACUGGCGAGAGACCGAUAGCGAACAAGUACCGUGAGGGAAAGAUGAAAAGAACUUUGAAAAGAGAGUUAAACAGUACGUGAAAUUGUCAAAAGGGAAGCGUUAUGACACCAGUGUUGUUUUCUCGAAAAUCAAUUAAAAAAGGCAGGAUUUUGUGUUGUAUUGACUUUAUCAGCUUUCUGCACUCUUUUCUUGUCUUUUUUAAUGCACUUUUCGUUUAACAAGUCAGCAUCAAUUUCUUUCGUUGUAAAAGGGUCAUUGGAAGGUGGCUUUCUUUUCGGAGAAAGUGUUUAUAGCCUUUGGCCUCUGCAAUCGGAGAGAUUGAGGUCUGCAGCGUAGAUCCUUCGGGGUUAGAUACAUUUGUGCUAAGUUAUAGCCUUUCAUAGACAACUUGUUGACUAUGAUCAGUCAUGUAGCUUACUCGCUUAUGCUAUUUUACCUACGCUUAGGAUGUUGAUGUGAUACUGCGAGCA